RNAcentral lists this transfer RNA (67 nucleotides) under Hemithyrsocera longiseta. RNAcentral's name for it is "tRNA-Arg". The record is from RNAcentral. Lineage: Eukaryota; Metazoa; Arthropoda; Insecta; Blattodea; Blattellidae.
AAAUAAGAAGCAAUUUGCAAUUAGUUUCGACCUAAUCCUUGGUAAUUUAAAUAAUUACCCUUAUUUA